This 336-nucleotide long non-coding RNA is filed under the name Mytilus galloprovincialis (Mediterranean mussel). The record is from RNAcentral. Lineage: Eukaryota; Metazoa; Mollusca; Bivalvia; Mytilida; Mytilidae.
AUCUUGAAUAUUAUUAUAGAUAGAGAUAAACUGUAAACAGCAAUAAUGUUCAGCAAAGUUAGAUUUACAAAUAAGUCAACAUGACCGAAAUGGUCAGUUGACCCCUUUAGGAGUUAUUGCCCUUUAUAGUCAAUUUUUAACCAUUUUUCGUAAAUCUUAGUAAUCUUUUACAAAAAUCUUCUCCUCUGAAACUACUGGGCCAAAUUAAUCCAAACUUGGCCACAAUCAUCUUUUGGGUAUCUAGUUUAAAAAUGUGUCGGGUGACCCGGCCAUCCAAACAAGAUGGCUGCCACGGCUAAAAGUAGAACAUAGGGGUAAAAUGUCAAAAACCAAAGC